This is a long non-coding RNA of Vigna radiata var. radiata (mung bean), 1787 nucleotides long. RefSeq lists it as uncharacterized. The transcript is spliced from 5 exons. The record is from RefSeq and is a predicted model, not a curated record. NCBI's taxonomy places the organism in Eukaryota, Viridiplantae, Streptophyta, Magnoliopsida, Fabales, Fabaceae.
CUCUUCCUUCACGAGAUAGAUCUCCUCGUCGAUCGUCUUUCAUCAUUACGGUAAGCCUUCUUCACUCACAGAAUCAUCUCCAUUUCCUCUAUCCUUCAUUUUCCACCGAAUCAUUCAUAGAUAUAAACCCUCCGUUGGGGUUUCUUCUCCUUUUCACCAUUUCCCUUCGAUUCCACCGAUUAAAACCUUGUUUUCACCAUGAGAAACCUUUUCCACCGAUUCAACUUUGAUUUACACCGAUCAAUCGGUCCAGAAUAGGUUUCCUUCUUCUUCUAGGGUUUCUAUCAAGUUUAAUCCUCUGUUUCUAGUUCUUCUUCGAGUUUUUGUCAUAUUUGGAAGAAGCUUCGAGGAUUCGCGUCGCGCCUACAGUCAUCUUCUCAGAGCCACUCUUCCAUCAAUAGUUAUAGUUCACAUUCUUCUCUGGUUAUAUUCGGUUGCUGAAAUUGGAGGAGUCUAGAAGAAAUGUGCUGGUAAGUAUGCAGUAGGAGGGCUUUAAUGCUGCAAAGUUUUCUGGAGAGCAGACCACUAGGAGGUAUUUGAAUAUGGAUAUUCUGGACUGCAGUAUGUUAUUUUGAUUUUGGUUCUGAUGAAGUUUGACAUAGAUAUUUUUCUGGAAAUCUAUUAUAUCAACAGUGGACAAUUUUUUUCUUCAACAUGAGCAUAUUUUGUUACAUAAAGAGGAGGGGGUUAUAUUUGAUUCUAAAUUUAUGCAAGCAUCAUUAAACCUUAGAUAAUGGUAAUCAUAUCUCUUUGUCCAGAGUACAUAUCACUGAACAUUUACUUAUAUAUUUCUUUCCCUUUGCAGGUUAAAUCGCAUGUGGAGGUACCACCAUUGGUAUGUGAGGAUUGUUACAAAAGUGUCAUAGCAUAAUUUAUGAAGCAAGCAAAGGUGAUAUUGGGUUACUUAUGCUCUAUACAACAAUUCAACAAAAUGUUACCUGGCUCAAAUAUGCUGCAAAUAUUGUUCGCAAAUAUAGUGCAAUUUAUUUGUAUGCCAAAGGAGAUUUUCCUUUUCUAACUUCUGGGUUCUAAAUUUGAAACUAUUACUAUGAUCUCUCUGGUCUGUGUUGUUUCUCAUAGAAAAUUUAUUGUUACUAAACUUCACAAUCUUACGGCCUGGGUUCUAUCUUAUCAUAUAAUAAUUUGUUGCAUCAUCAUAUAUCAUAAAUAGUUUGCUUGAGAUUGUCACGGAUCCAGGUUUCAGAGGAUGGUAUGUUGUCUUGUAAGCUAAUUUAGCAUGGCUUUAAAUACAGGCCCCUGGAUUUCAUCCGGGAAAGAAAGUUCCAGAAGACAUUCUUAUUGGUUAUGUUGGGAGACAAAAUGUCCAGAAGGCUACUAUUGAAUCUAUUGGAUUUCGAAGGACACUUUCACAUGCUAUGACAUUGGUUACUGGGAGGGCUUUGUAGGACUCAGUACACAUAGUUAUUAAGUUUUUUGAGAUGGAGGAGACAUAUUCUUCUCUUGGGACUCUUAGGUUUGUGAUAUUGNUGUUCUUGACAUCUCAGCAACAACCAUUGAUCAAGAUGAAUCAAAUGUUAAAAAUAUUCCUUCAAGUAAAGGCUUUAAUUUUGAUACCGGGGAUGGAGACAAGGUAUUACCAGGUUUCCUUGAUUCAAUAAUUGGAAUUCAUCGAGGUGAAUCAAAGUCUUUUCCUCUUGUAUUUCCUGAAACUUAGAAGCAAGAAAAUCUUCGAGGUGUUCAUGCUCAGUUUAAUGUAAGUUUCUAGUGCUGAAUAAAAAAGUUUAAGUUUUAGGAACAUGAACUGCCAUUGUUGUUUUUCCUUUUGG